AGCACUGCCACACAACACACAGGACUAUUAUAUAAUACUACUGAGAAUGACAUGAUACGUCAUUUUGCUUAAGACGUGAAGACUUACAUUAGCUCACCAAGUUAAUGUCUAGGCUUUAGCUCAGAAGGCUAACACAGUCUCUCCCUUGUUAUAUUGAAGUACUGCUACAACAGAUGUCAUUAAUUACCAGAUCAUGUCCACCUUUAAUGUUCCGCACUCUCCCUCCUCCCAUAUCGCCUUUAGCUCAGCGGUCUAACCCAGUCCCUCCUCUCCUUCAUCAGGUCUAGUGUUUAUCUAGGUAUAACCAAGUCUCUCCUCUCCUUCAUCAGGUCUAGUGUUUAUCUAGGAGGUCAAACCCAGUCUCUCCUCUCCUUCAUCAGGUCUAGUGUUUAUCUAGGGGGUCUAACCCAGUCUCUCCUUCCCCUGGUCUAGUGUUUAUCUAGGAGGUCUAACCCAGUCUCUCCUCUCCUUCAUCAGGUAUAGUGUUUAUCUAGGAGGUCUAACCCAGUCUCUCCUUCAUCAGGUCUAGUGUUUAUCUAGGAGGUCUAACUCAGUCUCUCCUUCAUCAGGUCUAGUGUUUAUCUAGGAGGUCUAACCCAGUCUCUCCUCUCCUUCAUCAGGUCUAGUGUUUAUCUAGGAGGUCUAACUCAGUCUCUCCGUCAUCAGGUCUAGUGUUUAUCUAGGAGGUCUAACCCAGUCUCUCCUCUCCUUCAUCAGGUCUAGUGUUUAUCUAGGAGGUCUAACUCAGUCUCUCCUUCAUCAGGUCUAGUGUUUAUCUAGGAGGUCUAACUCAGUCUCUCCUUCAUCAGGUCUAGUGUUUAUCUAGGUCUAACCCAGUCUCUCCGUCAUCAGGUCUAGUGUUUAUCUAGGAGGUCUAACCCAGUCUCUCCUUCAUCAGGUCUAGUGUUUAUCUAGGAGGUCUAACCCAGUCUCUCCUUCAUCAGGUCUAGUGUUUAUCUAGGAGGUCUAACCCAGUCUCUCCUCUCCUUCAUCAGGUCUAGUGUUUAUCUAGGAGGUCUAACCCAGUCUCUCCUUCAUCAGGUCUAGUGUUUAUCUAGGAGGUCUAACCCAGUCUCUCCUUCAUCAGGUCUAGUGUUUAUCUAGGAGGUCUAACCCAGUCUCUCCUUCAUCAGGUCUAGUGUUUAUCUAGGAGGUCUAACCCAGUCUCUCCUUCAUCAGGUCUAGUGUUUAUCUAGGAGGUCUAACCCAGUCUCUCCGUCAUCAGGUCUAGUGUUUAUCUAGGAGGUCUAACCCAGUCUCUCCUUCAUCAGGUCUAGUGUUUAUCUAGGAGGUCUAACCCAGUCUCUCCGUCAUCAGGUCUAGUGUUUAUCUAGGAGGUCUAACCCAGUCUCUCCGUCAUCAGGUCUAGUGUUUAUCUAGGAGGUCUAACCCAGUCUCUCCUUCAUCAGGUCUAGUGUUUAUCUAGGAGGUCUAACCCAGUCUCUCCUUCAUCAGGUCUAGUGUUUAUCUAGGAGGUCUAACCCAGUCUCUCCUUCAUCAGGUCUAGUGUUUAUCUAGGAGGUCUAACCCAGUCUCUCCUC
This is a long non-coding RNA of Oncorhynchus keta (chum salmon), 1541 nucleotides long. RefSeq lists it as uncharacterized. The record is from RefSeq and is a predicted model, not a curated record. The transcript has 3 exons. NCBI's taxonomy places the organism in Eukaryota, Metazoa, Chordata, Actinopteri, Salmoniformes, Salmonidae.